Molecule: long non-coding RNA, 1738 nt
Organism: Bos indicus x Bos taurus (hybrid cattle)
Lineage: Eukaryota; Metazoa; Chordata; Mammalia; Artiodactyla; Bovidae
Source: Ensembl
UGCAACUACAUAUCUAUGGUGUGCUGAGUAUUCCGCACAAUUACUUAAUUUAAACUUGACAAUUAUCCCUGUUUUACAGAUUAGCAAACUGAGUCUCAGGAAGGCUAAGUUACAAUAAAGGCACAGAGUAAAUGGCAAUGCCUAUAUUUCACUCUACCACAACACCUUGCUAAUGAAAAUACCUAAGCUCAUCUGAAGUUUAUACUUUAAAAUAUUCUUGUCAAGAAACUCUAUGUCUAGAAUAACAAGUCAUUCCACCACUCCUCCCACUCUCAAGUCCUACCCACUCCACCACACACCUUCCCUCUGACACACACUCACAUCCAUUCCCUACACCCACUUGCCUUCUUCCAAGCCUUCACAGAGCUGUUCCCUCUGCUUAGACUGUCCUACCUUUCUUCCCCACUUAAGAGAACCCCAACCCAUCCUCCCCAAUGGGACAGUGACUUCAAAAUCUUUGCUCCCUCUCCCAAGGAGGAUUAGCUGCGUCCACUCCAGCAUGUGUGAUCAGUUUAUCUUUCUGUCAGAUCGCACAUCCACCACUUGAGAUUGGCAUUUGCCUACCUCUUUGACCACUACUAGAACAUGAACUCCUCAAAAUCAGGGUCUGGAACCUACUUCUGCAUAUCUGUUCAUCUAAGUACUUAGGGAGCGCACAGUGGGAGUUCAAAAAGUGCUUGUUGAAUUCAUGAAUGAAUUUCCUUUUAAAUCAAGGUCGAUAUUUCAUAUGUCCUAGAUUGUGAAUGAAUCAUAUGUACGUAAACACUGUGAAGUAACUGGCUCUUAAAUGAGUUUAAGAAUGACUACGAAGAAAGGCUUCACUCACCCAAACCCAGUUUUUUCAGAGACCUCGCCCGGUUUCAUCUGUUUCAGCCCAGGCACGAGAUGGCCCCGCCUCCCUGCCUGCCAAUCAACCGGCCCUCGCGCCUGCGCAGACAUCGUCCUCUCACGAAGCCCCGCCCCAGUCACCGCCCCGGGACUGUUGCGGGCGGUUAGAUGUGGCGGGAGCUCUUCCUUCAUUAGCUCGCCCACUAUGACGAUCACCUACAGCUGCAUUGCAAAUGGCCGAGCGGUCCUAGCGGAGCUGGCCCUAACCGGCGGGUCUUAUCAGGAAGCAGCAGCAGCAGUGCUUAAGCUAGUACUUCUUAGAGCUGAACCAAAGACCAUGAUUCAAAUGGGAAGCUUUGUCUACCAUACUCUCUUUAUUGACGGAAUCACUUACCUUUGUGCCUCAGACAAUGCCUUAGAUAUUUUAACACCAUCUGCAUUUCUUAAAAAUGUUAGUGAGACUUUUCUGAAAAAUCCUUUGAUGUCACAAGAACAUUUUUCUCCUUCAAAUGCAGUUGCUGCAGAUUUUCAACAAGUAUUAGGAAAGUAUAUGAUGAAAUAUAAUACAAAUCAAGUUGACAGCUCGAUAUCCACACUGAAGAGUCAAGUAACUGAUGUAAAAAAUGUUAUGACCCAAAAUAUCGAUAAAAUUUUGGAAAGCGAAGACAGAUUGAAUAUCUUCACUGGUAGAAUGGAUGAUCUGCAAACAACUGCCAAAGAAUCCCCCCAAACAAUGAAGACUCUUAGGAGGAUAUGGCGGAAACACUGCAAAAAGAUCAUAAUCCUCAGCAUGGCAAUUCUUCUUUCAAUCAUCAUCAUUCUUUUAAGUACAAACGUUAUACCAACUUGACCCUUCUCCCCAUCUGCAAGGAUACCAAUAAAUUGUUAUAUUAACUAGAGAGUUCUACCA